UUGAUCCUGGCUCAGAACGAACGCUGGCGGGUGCUUACACAUGCAAGUCGAACGGGAAACGUCCUUCGGGAACCGAGUACAGUGGCGCACGGGUGAGUAACACGUAGGUGACCUACCUAUCGCUGGGGAACAACCCCGGGAAACCGGAGCUAAUUCCGCAUACGCUUUCCAACUCGCGGGUUGGAAAGGAAAGAUGGCCUCUUCAUGAAAGCUAUCGGCGAAUGAUGGGCCUGCGCGUCAUUAGCUUGUUGGUGAGGUAACGGCUCACCAAGGCUGCGAUGACUAGCUGGUCUGAGAGGAUGAUCAGCCACACUGGCACUGGAACACGGGCCAGACUCCUACGGGAGGCAGCAGUGGGGAAUAUUGCGCAAUGGGCGAAAGCCUGACGCAGCGACGCCGCGUGAGUGACGAAGGCCUUCGGGUCGUAAAAGCUCUGUCGAGAGGGACGAAACACCGGUGGGAACAAUACCUCGCCGGUUUGACGGUACCUCCAAAGGAAGCACCGGGUAACUCCGUGCCAGCAGCCGCGGUA
This 532-nucleotide ribosomal RNA is filed under the name uncultured organism. Its description in RNAcentral is "bacterial SSU rRNA". It matches the Rfam family "Bacterial small subunit ribosomal RNA", at positions 13 to 522 of the family's 1533-position model. The record is from RNAcentral.